This 29-nucleotide non-coding RNA is filed under the name Homo sapiens (human). The record is from RNAcentral. Lineage: Eukaryota; Metazoa; Chordata; Mammalia; Primates; Hominidae.
UGCGGAGAUGGUCCACACAGGUUUGAAGU